AGCAGCGUAGCUGAACAUCUUACGGAUGGCCCAGGGCUCCAAAGGCUCGUUUCCUAAGUGAGAGAGAGCCUGGCUGAAGCUGUAUUACCAUUCAUUCUCCAGCCUCCGAAGUCUCAAAGCAUCACUUCCACCAUACUCUAACUGUCAAGACAAACACAAAGGCCCAGAGAAGGGGUCUCACUAUGUUGUCUGGAGUGCUGUGGUGGAGUGGAGUGGCUAUUCACAGAGCCUGUUCUGCUGGGACACAGAAUCACUUGCUCCAUCUCAUACAUUGAUGAUGAUUAAUUUGUAUGUGUACCUUCCAAAAAAGAUGGUUGUGUUUGAAUGGAGGCCUUCUGGACAGGAAAAUAAUCACAUCCUUCCUGAGAUAAUGAGCACACAAUUGCCUGGAUACCUGAAGGAAUGGAGACAGCGGCAGAAAACACUGCAGAGAGGUGGAAACAUCCGUUAAUAUUUUAAAAUCCCAUUACUGCUACCAACAAUAAUAAUGGAUGCAUAGAAAUAGAUCUGGAUUAGCUGAGCUUGAAACAGUCCAUCUCACACACACACAAAAGAAUUUCAGAUACAGUGAACCCACAUGUUGAAGCUUUCUAGUAUAAUAAAAAUUUCAACUGUUCUGUUGAAUCAUCUGCCUGAUUGGAGGCUACAGAAAAGAUGUCAUCUUAGGAGUGCUUGCUCUGAGUGAGGCUCAUCUUCAAAUCUGAAUGACCACAAGGAGAUUUGAUUAUACAUGUGAACACCUCAGAAGGCACAGCCCACCCAGAAGGCAGACAGAAGAAGCUGCCAGGAAGACUGUGAAAUCUUCAUGCCCAAGGAUCCCUAAAAUUAGGAGCAACAACCACUUGGCUCAGACGGUUUAUGGAGGCAAAGGUUUGGAUGGGAUUAGAGAUUUCUAAAUGUGAGUUCGUGUCCUCUGCCAGACCACCUUACUUCCACCAUUCCUCAGCAAAUCAAGAAAAACAGGAGAAAAGACAUGCCUUUCCAUAAGUUAAAUCUAUUCUGUUUUAAUUCUAUAUUAUAUCUGCUGUACAACUUCUUUUGUUUGUAACACCAUAUUGUUGCUAGUAACUGGAAAUUAAUUUUCACAUGCCUCAGCUUAGAAAAAUAAAAAGCAGCCCUGCAUCAAUCCCAA
RNAcentral lists this long non-coding RNA (1132 nucleotides) under Homo sapiens (human). RNAcentral's name for it is "long intergenic non-protein coding RNA 635". The record is from RNAcentral. Lineage: Eukaryota; Metazoa; Chordata; Mammalia; Primates; Hominidae.